RNAcentral lists this ribosomal RNA (551 nucleotides) under Microhyla berdmorei (Pegu rice frog). RNAcentral describes it as "partial 16S ribosomal RNA". It matches the Rfam family "Bacterial large subunit ribosomal RNA", at positions 1817 to 2597 of the family's 2925-position model. The record is from RNAcentral. Lineage: Eukaryota; Metazoa; Chordata; Amphibia; Anura; Microhylidae.
CGCCUCUUGCUAACUAUAAGAGGUCCAGCCUGCCCAGUGACAAAGUUAAACGGCCGCGGUACCCUAACCGUGCAAAGGUAGCGCAAUCACUUGUUCUUUAAAUGAGGACUAGUAUGAACGGCAUCACGAGGGUUAUACUGUCUCCCCCCUUUUUUCAGUGAAACUGAUCUUCCCGUGAAGAAGCGGGAAUAUUAAUAUAAGACGAGAAGACCCCAUGGAGCUUUAAACUCAGAAUCAACUGCCACAAACUUAACUUAAUAACUAUGCAGGAAUGACUUCUAGUUUUCGGUUGGGGUGACCGCGGAGUAAAAUAAAACCUCCACGACGAAAGGAACUAACCACCUAAACCAAGAGCCACAGCUCUAAGUAUUAAAACAUUAACCUAAUUGAUCCAAUUACUUGAUCAACGAACCAAGUUACCCUGGGGAUAACAGCGCAAUCCAUUUCAAGAGCUCAUAUCGACAAAUGGGUUUACGACCUCGAUGUUGGAUCAGGAUAUCCAAGUGGCGCAGCCGCUACUAACGGUUCGUUUGUUCAACGAUUAAAAUCCU